RNAcentral lists this ribosomal RNA (351 nucleotides) under uncultured bacterium. RNAcentral describes it as "bacterial SSU rRNA". It matches the Rfam family "Bacterial small subunit ribosomal RNA", at positions 8 to 350 of the family's 1533-position model. The record is from RNAcentral.
AGAGUUUGAUCCUGGCUCAGGAUGAACGCUAGCUACAGGCUUAACACAUGCAAGUCGAGGGGAAACGACAUCGAAAGCUUGCUUUUGAUGGGCGUCGACCGGCGCACGGGUGAGUAACGCGUAUCCAACCUGCCCACCACUUGGGGAUAACCUUGCGAAAGUAAGACUAAUACCCAAUGACGUCUCUAGAAGACAUCUGAAAGAGAAUUAAAGAUUUAUCGGUGAUGGAUGGGGAUGCGUCUGAUUAGCUUGUUGGCGGGGUAACGGCCACAAGGCGACGAUCAGUAGGGGUUCUGAGAGGAGGUCCCCANAUUGGAACUGAGACACGGUCCAAACUCCGUACGGGAGGCA